GGUGAUUGUAGUGUAAUGGGAACAUACGAAGCUGUGAACUUCGUGUACAGGGAUCGAAACCCGCUGUCACCCC
Molecule: transfer RNA, 73 nt
Filed under: Pseudomonas phage PPSC2
Lineage: Duplodnaviria; Heunggongvirae; Uroviricota; Caudoviricetes; Vandenendeviridae
Description: tRNA-His
Rfam family: tRNA
About the family: Transfer RNA (tRNA) molecules are approximately 80 nucleotides in length. Their secondary structure includes four short double-helical elements and three loops (D, anti-codon, and T loops).
Source: RNAcentral